Monopterus albus (swamp eel) is the source of this 778-nucleotide long non-coding RNA. RefSeq lists it as uncharacterized. Lineage: Eukaryota; Metazoa; Chordata; Actinopteri; Synbranchiformes; Synbranchidae. The record is from RefSeq and is a predicted model, not a curated record. The transcript is spliced from 6 exons.
GCCUGUAGGUGGCGGUAAUGCACCUUAAGGUGGCAUGCAAACUGCCAAUAAACAUUAGAAGAAGAAGUUGCUGGAAAGUUAUGGGUGCAGUACUCUCCAACCUUCUCCUGGCUCUGGUGUGUGAGCCUGUUACUCCAGCAAAGUUUUUCAGCCUGUCCAACUUUGUUUUGCCUACAACCUACCUGUGCUAAAAGCCAUCUGGGUAGCCUUCAGUGUCCUCUGGAGUUUCCUAAAUCCCAUCAUCUCCUGUGUGCGCCGCCAUCUUCAUCUGUGAUGAGAAGCUCAACAAGAGCCGUCAGCUCCGGCCAGUCACAGUGACUGUACUUCGGGAGGCCUGAGAGGUCAAGCAGCUGGUCACACCCAGAUCCCAGAGAAGUUGCCUCAUGCUCAGGAGAGGACUGAUCACAUUCAGUCUUCAGGCUCCAAAGAGGAGAUGAGAGAGAGCUCAGCCUGGAGCUGUUUUCUCUUCAUCAGUGCACGCUAGUCCAGAUGCUUCACCUGCAUGAAAUCCAGUUUGGCAGCAAAGAGGGGACAGAAACCCCAGAAAGACAAUGUGACAACUUGGGGGGAAAAUAAGCCAGAAUGCAUUUGGAAGCGACAGAUCACAGGCCAGGCAGCAGAGAGCCUCGUCCUCAGAGGACGUUUGUUGUAAAGGUGAUGCCCUCCUGUCUUCAUUCUGGGGAAUAUUAGGCUGUGACGAGCACAACACAUUUUCAUCAUCGCAGUCAGAAAUGUAAUGUACUCCUUUGUGUUGCCUAUUGUACCACCAGCUUUAAUA